UACGGAGGGUGCGAGCGUUGUCCGGAAUCACUGGGCGUAAAGGGCGCGUAGGCGGCGCGGUAAGUCUGCUGUGAAAGUCCAGGGCUCAACCCUGGGAUGCCGGUGGAUACUGUCGAGCUCGAGUCCGGAAGAGGCGAGUGGAAUUCCUGGUGUAGCGGUGAAAUGCGCAGAUAUCAGGAGGAACACCAAUGGCGAAGGCAGCUCGCUGGGACGUGACUGACGCUGAGACGCGAAAGCGUGGGGAGCAAACAGG
RNAcentral lists this ribosomal RNA (253 nucleotides) under uncultured bacterium. Its description in RNAcentral is "partial 16S ribosomal RNA". It matches the Rfam family "Bacterial small subunit ribosomal RNA", at positions 524 to 776 of the family's 1533-position model. The record is from RNAcentral.